AACGGCGAUUCUGAACAAAUCGCAGCGAUCGUCAUUGCCGGAAGAAAAUAUUGCCAGUGCUAAUUUCACUAUCUUCAACUCCUCCCUCUUCUGCUCAUCGAUCUCCUCUUUUCAGUCUCUAAAACUAGCUCUAACACGCAUCUUUUCCGCACAAUCUCGGCAAUCCUCGCCACUGCAAGAAAACGUUGAAGGCGAUCUCUCCAUUCACCUCUUUAUUUACUUAUAUUCAUCGUCGAGAAAAAUCUGGGACGACAGCAUCUUCCCUCUCUCAGAUAUGAAUAGAUUUUUGAUAGUUGUAAGUCUAGGUUUUUAUUCUUAAGAAGGUUAGCUUUAGGAUUAGGAUUUAGGGUUUAUUUUUUAACGAAUUAGGAUUUAGGGUUUAUUUUUUAACGAAUUAGGAUUUUGGCGAUAUGCGAUGCAGAUUCUGAAAAACAGAGAAAGCCACAUUGGUAUAAACUUAGGACUGUGGUUUUGCAGGAAAUUAGAAAAUUUCAGAAAUCAACAUAUUUGCUGAUACCAAUCAUCAAGCACUCCAUCCAUCUAAAAUGUGAGUACUUCAUGUGUUUGUCCAACACCUAUCCUUAAUUUAUGAUAUUUCUUGCCAAGAAAUAAAAUCUGUUUGUUCAUUUGAUUGAUUUUCGCUGUUGAUUUAUAAACUUAGCCAGUUUAUAUUACUUAUAUUUGUCUCUGAUCAAACUAUAUUUAUCAAUAUUCUUUUAGCUCCGAUCAAAUUCUCUGCACUUUUCCAAUUUUAUUCUUUUAAUAAUAUUUAGCUUCUUAGAUUUAGUCAACUCAUCAUAUACAAUCUUUAAAUCUGUGGUGUGGCUUGAAUGAUUAGUUACAAUAUUUUGAUUUUCGCCCAUUGCAUUGUCUUUUCAACACGUAGUAAUCCUUUCCUCCUCACCACAAAGUUGGCAGAAGACUUAAAAGUAAAAAAACCUUGAUGAUCCUAAACAGAUUAGCUCUCACUGUGUGUGUGUUUUUUUACCAACUUUGAAUUCACAUGGUAAUGUAUUAACUAGUAUGUGAGAAUAUAGUAUUAUUAUUUCAAAAAAAAUAUGAUCCUUUGGAUUUUUUAGGGGUUUUGGCAUUUGGGAUUACUAUUUUUAGCUUAAUUGAUAUAUUGUUUUUUUUUUGUUGAAAUUAAUGUUAAAAAUAGGCUAGGGAAAUCACUCAAAUAUAUGCAACAGAAGUCAACAGAUGGACUCCUGAAGCAUUACUGCCAUUACAAUUUACAAGUGGUGAGUUCUUAUUUUACAAUAAAAACUUAGAAUCUUGAAUCUUGAUAUGAUUUGGCUUACUACUCCCUCAGGCCUCAACCAAUUGAAUGAGAGCCAUUUAUAUAAGGUAUAGAGCAACAAAAAGAAUGAACGAUAUAGUAUUACAUUUGUAGCUAUUUUCCUUAUUAAUGAUCAGGCAAAUGCAAGGAGGUCACUUAAAUUUAGUAGAUCACCGGAAAAUUCAAGAAUUUUAGCUUAUGUUCACUUUAAUCAGCAUAAAGCAACUAUGUUCACUUCAAUCAGCAUAAAAUCCUUAUUUCGUUGUUCGCGAAAUAUGCUAUAUUUUUAUAAAGUGCUUGCAAGUAGGGGUGAGAACGGAGCAGGUCGGGGUAGAUAUUCUGUCCCUUUUUUAUUUUUCUGUCCCCGAAGCAGGUCUCGGGGCAGGGCAAAACCCAGGCGGGUCGCCCGAGUUUAAAAAAUAUAUUAUAUUAUACUAUAUUAGAUAUAGAUUAUUAGGAUUAUGAAUUUAUUAUAUUUUUAUCUAUGUGAUUAUGUCUAUUUUAGAUUUAUUUUUUAUUUUUACUUUUAAAAAUUAUGGUAAAAAAUUUACCCAUUUUAAAUUUUAAGCUUACUCUUUUAAUUAUUUUUUUAUCAUUUUUUUAUAAUUCCAGGGCUUGUCGUUCCGUUUCGCGCCCCGGUCACUAGGUCCGGGACAGGGUAUAUGGGCACUUGACCCGUCCCGGCAAAACAGGACGGAUACCGGGAUAGGGCCGCCUACGACCCGUUCUCAUCACUACUUCCAAGUUCCGUUUAUCUGAAAAUUGCUCUAUUUUUUAUGUUUGAUGUGCAGUGAAGAAAGAUCUUGAGCUGAAAUCUUGAUCUUGAGGAAAGAAUAGGUAGCGAUCAUGAAAUGUUUCCCUCAAAUUAACCAGUUAAAUCAUUUAAUUCCAUGUUUUAUGCUAGGAAACUAAAACAAACUUAUGUUUAUUUUUAAUGAUAAAUAUAACAAGUGAAUUCAGCUAAUGCUUCUGCUUCUUGGCUAUUGGCGAAGUUGGUUCAGCCUGUAACAUCAAGAAUUUGCCUUAGUUUUUAAUGUGAAAUUUAGUUUAACCCAUAAAUGCAUUGAUGUUAGAAAAACAGAAGACAAAAUGUAGAAUUUAUUGUUCUUACAGAUUUUGAAAGUAGAUCACUAAUGUGAGUGAGUGAUCUCAACAUUGCUUCCAAUGUGUCUUUUGAAAUCCGAAACUUAAUCUCAGUAGUUUCACUUGAACCACCAUGAUCUUCAAGCUGCACCACCAUGCACAUGAGAGUCUGGUCAGCAGUGGUCACAAAAUGAAGAAAGAAAUUAAAGUGGAGAUGGUUUUUUCCUCAUACCUUGACGGUAAUGAUAGCAAUCCGAUUUGUAGUAAGAAUAGAACUAACCCUCUCCAUAUUCCAUGUCAUAGACUUGAGGUGAGGAAUAACUCUCAUAUUAUCAUCAUUCGAAAGAGUAUCAGUUGUGGAAGGAACAAUUUGAUUCGUAGAAAUACCCACCAAAUUAUCUUCCUGUGGAAAAUCCAUGGACUGAGAGGAAGCUGCAGGAAUGCAAGUUGUUCUUUUUGCCAGAUCCUCCUCCUUCCAGAGACUGUGAUGUUUCUGUAGUAGCAGAGUGAGAGUUGUCUGAAGAUGGACUGAAAUAUCCGGAGGAAACAGCUUCUGAACGAUACUACUAGCACCAAUACCGUCGUUAUCGCCAACGCCGUCGGAGUUGAUGUUACUAACCACAAGAUCGAAAUUAAGAGAGUUUCUGAUGAUUGAACGAAGACACGCCAAUACCUGAUAUUUUGGUUCGAUUUUCAUGGAUCAGAUCAGUUAGAUCGGAUCAAUUAAGCAUGCGACGAGAUAAGAGAAAGAAGAGAUCUCACGGGAUCGAGGUCUUGUGAAGAUUGGAUGCCAAGAAGGGACUGAACUGUAGACUUCUGGAGUGAGGAAAGACCGAUUUUUCUGGUAUCCCACAGCAAGCAAAGCGCUUCUCCCAAAGUCUUCUCUGUCGGUGGUGGAGACGAAGGGAUCUUCCGAAGCUGACCGUGGAAAGCAAGAACAUCGCCGUCCAUAUUGGUAUCCAUCCCUUCGACUUCCAAUGGAGAGGAGGAAGAGAAUAGUAAAACUUCGAAUAAGGUUGUGAAAUUUGCAGAUAAUUUAUUUAUAACUAGUGAUUUUUUUCUUUAUUUAACUAUUUACUUUUGUAUUAUUCGAUAAAGAUCCAAAAACUAAACCCUUGGAAAUUGGGACCCCACUUGACAAAGGGUUUCAUACUUUCUCUGAUCUAAAUAGACUUGCGAAAUCUAAAAUCCUAAAAACAUACAAUCAUGCAAUCAUUGUAUCAUACAAACACCUACAGACUUAUUUUCUACAUCAAAAACUGAAAUAAAUCCAUGGAUCGUGUAUAACUUAAAGCUUUCUCUUUUUCUAAUAUUACCUAAACAAAACAGAAAAACCUCUAGGAAGAAGAAGAAGAAAGAACACACAGAAAACAGCAAACCUUUUUCCUUUGUAGAUUAAUGAUCCUCCUAUUUGUUUUGUAUGGGAUUUGCUCUACUCCAAGGCACUGCCCUCAAGCUUUCAAUUCCACCAGGAGUGGCGGCUGAAGCCAAUGAUGCUUUUCUUUUAGCAGUGACAUUCAAAGUAUUCUUCACAUCUAACUGUAAAUUAGAUUCAGACAACAGCAUUUUUCUGGGUUGAUGCAUUCCUUCAUAUAAGAAAGAGUGACACAAUAAAAUGUUAAGAAACAGAAGCACAAGAAGUAAAGCGAAAAUUACAGAUCUAAAAAUGGGGGUUUUCAUAGUAUUUUUUUUUUUUGUUCUUGAUGAUGCUGAAAAUGAAGAGAUUUCAAAACAACAGAGAAUAUGUAUCAAUGUAUGUUUACAUUAUAAAAAAAUUAAGUGUCAGUGAGUGUGUCAUGACAUAGAUAUUAAUUAAUUAAUGCUAAAGAAACUUAGAAACUAAGCUAUAGAUUAUAAUAAUACAAGCAUGUAACAUGGAUGUGAUUAAAGGAUGCGUAUGCCUGUUUGGUAUAAUAGGUCAAACGAGUUAUUUUUUAUGAGAAUUGAGAAACUGUCAACUUGACCAGCUUAUAUUUUAAAAGGAUUUGCAAAUAGAAUUUAAUAAAAAAAAUGAUCCAUUAAUCUUCCUUUCCGAUUAUUCUUUGAUUAUAUUCAUAAUUCUUUGCAAAAAAUAGAUUCUUUGAUUAUAUUCAUAAUUUGAAAUUUAAAUUUAAAAAGAUUUUUUAAUGAUAAAAAAAUUAAUGAAACAAAUUCAAAGAAACUUCCUGACCUUUUAAACGAAGGCACUUUCUUUCAAUGUAUUGGGGCUGCAAGAGGAUCAAAAUAAUUUUUAUCGAUACUAUCUUUCAAAAUGGCAAUCUCCCCUUCCUUGACAAGAAUUUCUUCGUCAAGAGUUUCGAUCUUUUUCUUCAAUGAUUUAUUCUCAAAACUCAUUAACUUGCUACUCUCUGUCAAUCUCUGAACUUCUUUCCACAUACGGUCUCUUUCGUUGGAAACCUUGGGCAACAUAUCACGACUUGAAUUGCACUCCUGCUUAUACUCUAUAAGAUCGAGUUCAACUUGUUUCAAACUCUCAUCUUUCCUCAACAUCUGACAUUCAAUUUAAUUAUUGUUAUUAUUUUCAAUUUUCAGAGAAGAAAAUUAAUAAGAUGAUUAAAUAAUAUAAGAUCUUUUUAUUUUUAAAACCUGAAGUUCAAAAUCUUUUGAUCUGUGGGUAAGACUUGAAAUUUCAUCCUUCAUCUUCUGAUUCUCAGAUUUUGAGAUUUCAACCUCUCGUAACAAACUUGCUAUAUCACCAUGAAGUUGCUCAAUCUCAACUUCUUUGGAGCACAUUUUAUGUUUUAAAACCCUGGUCAUUAAUCUUUCUGCCUUUAAUUCAAGUUCCAAAUCAUCCUAAAACAAAACAAAUAGAAAGUGUCGAUAUUAGUUUAUGAUUUUAAUGCAUUAAAUUGAAAUCAUUAUAAUGUAACGAAUAAUUAAAAUUUUACCGAAUCUUUGAUCAAUUCUUUUGAUGACCUAUUUUCCACAUAAUGUUCUUUAUUAAAACUAAAAUCUCUCAAUUUACUAUUUAAAACAUCUGACAUUGAACUCAAACUUCUCUUCCAAUUUUCCCUUGCAGUUUUUAAACUCUGGAAUUUACCAUUGUAAUCCACGAAAGAAUAAUCCUCGGAUUCAUUG
Molecule: long non-coding RNA, 5440 nt
Filed under: Zostera marina
Lineage: Eukaryota; Viridiplantae; Streptophyta; Magnoliopsida; Alismatales; Zosteraceae
Description: long non-coding RNA (ZMAR_LNC001639)
Source: RNAcentral